RNAcentral lists this transfer RNA (76 nucleotides) under Desulfovibrio sp. RNAcentral describes it as "tRNA-Ala". It matches the Rfam family "tRNA". From Rfam's summary of the family: Transfer RNA (tRNA) molecules are approximately 80 nucleotides in length. Their secondary structure includes four short double-helical elements and three loops (D, anti-codon, and T loops). The record is from RNAcentral. Lineage: Bacteria; Pseudomonadati; Thermodesulfobacteriota; Desulfovibrionia; Desulfovibrionales; Desulfovibrionaceae. RNAcentral also lists the same sequence under 7 other names.
GGGGAUGUAGCUCAGCUGGGAGAGCGAUGCGUUCGCAACGCAUAGGCCAGGAGUUCAAUCCUCCUCAUCUCCACCA